RNAcentral lists this ribosomal RNA (244 nucleotides) under uncultured bacterium. RNAcentral's name for it is "partial 16S ribosomal RNA". It matches the Rfam family "Bacterial small subunit ribosomal RNA", at positions 57 to 305 of the family's 1533-position model. The record is from RNAcentral.
GCAAGUCGAACGGCAGCGCGGGGCAACCUGGCGGCGAGUGGCGAACGGGUGAGUAAUAUAUCGGAACGUACCCAGGAGUGGGGAAUAACGUGGCGAAAGGUACGCUAAUGCCGCAUACGAUCUACGGAUGAAAGCAGGGGAUCGCAGGACCUUGCGCUCGUGGAGCGGCCGAUAUCUGAUUAGCUAGUUGGUAGGGUAAAGGCCUACCAAGGCAACGAUCAGUAGCUGGUCUGAGAGGACGACC